This 248-nucleotide ribosomal RNA is filed under the name uncultured Anaerolineaceae bacterium. RNAcentral's name for it is "partial 16S ribosomal RNA". It matches the Rfam family "Bacterial small subunit ribosomal RNA", at positions 796 to 1041 of the family's 1533-position model. Lineage: Bacteria; Bacillati; Chloroflexota; Anaerolineae; Anaerolineales; Anaerolineaceae. The record is from RNAcentral.
CUAGCUGUAAACGUUGGAUACUGGGUAUUUGGGGGGUAAGACCCUUGAGUGCCGAAGCAAACGCGUUAAGUAUCCCGCCUGGGGACUACGGCCGCAAGGUUAAAACUCAAAGGAAUUGACGGGGACCCGCACAAGCAGCGGAGCGUGUGGUUUAAUUCGAUGCAACACGAAGAACCUUACCUGGGUUUGACAUGUACGUAGUAGGGAAGCGAAAGCGGACCGACCCUUCGGGGAGCGUACACAGGUGC